RNAcentral lists this ribosomal RNA (253 nucleotides) under uncultured bacterium. Its description in RNAcentral is "partial 16S ribosomal RNA". It matches the Rfam family "Bacterial small subunit ribosomal RNA", at positions 524 to 776 of the family's 1533-position model. The record is from RNAcentral.
GGCGGAGGGGGCGAGCGUUGAUCGGAAUCACUGGGCGUAAAGCGCACGUAGACGGCCAGAUAAGUCAGCUGUGAAAGCCCCGGGCUUAACCUGGGAAUGGCAUUUGAUACUGUCUGGCUAGAGUAUGGUAGAGGGGGGUGGAAUUCCAGGUGUAGCGGUGAAAUGCGUAGAGAUCUGGAGGAACACCGGUGGCGAAGGCGGCCCCCUGGACCAAUACUGACGCUGAGGUGCGAAAGCGUGGGGAGCAAACAGG